This is a long non-coding RNA of Clarias gariepinus (North African catfish), 1175 nucleotides long. RefSeq lists it as uncharacterized. Lineage: Eukaryota; Metazoa; Chordata; Actinopteri; Siluriformes; Clariidae. The record is from RefSeq and is a predicted model, not a curated record. The transcript has 3 exons.
UGGACUUCAUGGCCUCCUAUUAUCCAAAUGAUUUGUUUUUCCCAUCCUGGUUGAACUUUCUAGUGAGAGAGUUAAAAACUCCAUCAGGUUCAUACAUGUGUCUGUGCAGCGACGCAGGGGGCAUAACCUAACAAAUGUGUGGGGUCAAUUGGUUUCCCAAGGGGGCGCUAUUGAGGAGCUGGCUGACUAAGUCUCGACCAAGACUGCUGAUGCUCAUCGCCGGCUUAAAGAGGCCUCAAGUCACCCUCAUGAGAAGGAAAAGGAUGAAGCGCACAAAAGUAGCAAAGGCCACGUAAGCGGACCAGCAAUCGGUUGCCACAUUUCAACUGAAUCCUUAAGCUGGAGAUCAACUCCUGUAGAAAUAGAAGAAACUCAAGAUGCAGAGAAACUAAUUUACCAAUCUGUAUCAUCUCGAAGAACUAAAAUCCAUAGCAAACUAAUGCGAGGAUGGAGCAAGGGCAUCACAAAGGUCCAGAUCUCCCGGCUGAGACCUGGACCAAUUUUUAUCCUGUAUCCAGCCAUCUGUAGAUCCCUCCUCUUUAAAAACACAUAUCUGUUAUAGUUAAUUAUGCUAAUUAUGGGUGUGACUGUAUAUUCUUCUGCAUUGUAGUGACAAACUUGGUUAAACAUAAAUGAUCUCUAUCAUUCACUACCUGUCAGAAUUAUUGAUUUGUUCUGAUUGUGUGAAUUUAUAGAUAAGAAAAGAUUUAUUAUGCAAGACAGAUAUAGUGCAUUGCACAAAUAUUAAGCACCUUCUUAACCCUUUCCACAAAGACGUGGUUAGAACUGGUUAAUCCUCUUUUUACCUAGAAACUGACUUUUGUCAGACAGCCUCCACUAGGGAGAAUCAAAGUAAUAUGACUUGAUGAUACAGGUAUAUUUCUACAAGUUGGAAACCAUUAGCUUGCAUAGUUUAAAAGACAUGGAAUUAAAUUAUUUAUGAAAAUGCUAUUUUCUUAUUUGGAUUCUGUUAUUUACAUUGACUUUCAUCCUUCAUCUACAAGAACAGCAUAAUCAAAUGUUUAAUUUCUCUUCCCUCUACAGACGUUACAUACAUGUACAUACAAUUUCCAUCAAAUAAACAAUGUAACACUUUAUAUUAGGCUGUCCUACUUAUCCUUUGUAAGAAUAUGCUGUGAUAACAUAAGAACUAUGGACAAAAAAAAAAUUGCACU